This 1374-nucleotide ribosomal RNA is filed under the name Klebsiella pneumoniae. RNAcentral describes it as "16S ribosomal RNA". It matches the Rfam family "Bacterial small subunit ribosomal RNA", at positions 94 to 1464 of the family's 1533-position model. The record is from RNAcentral. Lineage: Bacteria; Pseudomonadati; Pseudomonadota; Gammaproteobacteria; Enterobacterales; Enterobacteriaceae.
AGCGGCGGACGGGUGAGUAAUGUCUGGGAAACUGCCUGAUGGAGGGGGAUAACUACUGGAAACGGUAGCUAAUACCGCAUAAUGUCGCAAGACCAAAGUGGGGGACCUUCGGGCCUCAUGCCAUCAGAUGUGCCCAGAUGGGAUUAGCUAGUAGGUGGGGUAACGGCUCACCUAGGCGACGAUCCCUAGCUGGUCUGAGAGGAUGACCAGCCACACUGGAACUGAGACACGGUCCAGACUCCUACGGGAGGCAGCAGUGGGGAAUAUUGCACAAUGGGCGCAAGCCUGAUGCAGCCAUGCCGCGUGUGUGAAGAAGGCCUUCGGGUUGUAAAGCACUUUCAGCGGGGAGGAAGGCGUUAAGGUUAAUAACCUUGGCGAUUGACGUUACCCGCAAGAAGAAGCACCGGCUAACUCCGUGCCAGCAGCCGCGGUAAUACGGAGGGUGCAAGCGUUAAUCGGAAUUACUGGGCGUAAAGCGCACGCAGGCGGUCUGUCAAGUCGGAUGUGAAAUCCCCGGGCUCAACCUGGGAACUGCAUUCGAAACUGGCAGGCUAGAGUCUUGUAGAGGGGGGUAGAAUUCCAGGUGUAGCGGUGAAAUGCGUAGAGAUCUGGAGGAAUACCGGUGGCGAAGGCGGCCCCCUGGACAAAGACUGACGCUCAGGUGCGAAAGCGUGGGGAGCAAACAGGAUUAGAUACCCUGGUAGUCCACGCCGUAAACGAUGUCGAUUUGGAGGUUGUGCCCUUGAGGCGUGGCUUCCGGAGCUAACGCGUUAAAUCGACCGCCUGGGGAGUACGGCCGCAAGGUUAAAACUCAAAUGAAUUGACGGGGGCCCGCACAAGCGGUGGAGCAUGUGGUUUAAUUCGAUGCAACGCGAAGAACCUUACCUGGUCUUGACAUCCACAGAACUUUCCAGAGAUGGAUUGGUGCCUUCGGGAACUGUGAGACAGGUGCUGCAUGGCUGUCGUCAGCUCGUGUUGUGAAAUGUUGGGUUAAGUCCCGCAACGAGCGCAACCCUUAUCCUUUGUUGCCAGCGGUUAGGCCGGGAACUCAAAGGAGACUGCCAGUGAUAAACUGGAGGAAGGUGGGGAUGACGUCAAGUCAUCAUGGCCCUUACGACCAGGGCUACACACGUGCUACAAUGGCAUAUACAAAGAGAAGCGACCUCGCGAGAGCAAGCGGACCUCAUAAAGUAUGUCGUAGUCCGGAUUGGAGUCUGCAACUCGACUCCAUGAAGUCGGAAUCGCUAGUAAUCGUAGAUCAGAAUGCUACGGUGAAUACGUUCCCGGGCCUUGUACACACCGCCCGUCACACCAUGGGAGUGGGUUGCAAAAGAAGUAGGUAGCUUAACCUUCGGGAGGGCGCUUACCACUGUG